RNAcentral lists this ribosomal RNA (495 nucleotides) under uncultured bacterium. RNAcentral describes it as "partial 16S ribosomal RNA". It matches the Rfam family "Bacterial small subunit ribosomal RNA", at positions 28 to 507 of the family's 1533-position model. The record is from RNAcentral.
GACGAACGCUGGCGGCGUGCCUAAUACAUGCAAGUAGAACGCUGAAGGAGGAGCUUGCUUCUCUGGAUGAGUUGCGAACGGGUGAGUAACGCGUAGGUAACCUGCCUGGUAGCGGGGGAUAACUAUUGGAAACGAUAGCUAAUACCGCAUAAGAGUAGAUGUUGCAUGACAUUUGCUUAAAAGGUGCAAUUGCAUCACUACCAGAUGGACCUGCGUUGUAUUAGCUAGUUGGUGGGGUAACGGCUCACCAAGGCGACGAUACAUAGCCGACCUGAGAGGGUGGAUCGGCCACCUGGGACUGGGACACCGGCCCGACCUCCUAGGGAAGCAGCAGUAGGGGAACUUCGGCAAAGGACGGAAGUCUGACCGGGCAAAGCCGCGUGAGUGAAGAAGGGUUUCGGGUCGUAAAACUCUGUUGUAAGAGAAGAACGAGUGUGAGAGUGGAAAGUUCACACUGUGACGGUAUCUUACCAGAAAGGGAAGGCUAACUACGUG